GCCACUUAUUCUUCAUGCAAAAAAAAAAUUUAUGUAAAUUUUUCUCAUACUCAAAAGCUUUUCCAUAUCAAUAUCUAUCUUAUUUUUAAUUAAAAAUUAGUUAGUUUAAAUUUGAGUUCAAAUAGGUUUGAAUUUGAAUGAAACUUAGAGUCCAAAUUGAGUUGGACUCUUCUCUUCAUGCCAUCACCUUUCUCCAUGCGUAAAAUAUUUUUGCAUGAGAUUUUUUACACUAGUCUAAUGUUGGUCAAUCUCUCUUUGAGUUCAUGAGAUGAGGAUAAAGUUUGGU
This 286-nucleotide long non-coding RNA is filed under the name Elaeis guineensis (African oil palm). Its description in RNAcentral is "long non-coding RNA (EGUI_LNC035925)". The record is from RNAcentral. Lineage: Eukaryota; Viridiplantae; Streptophyta; Magnoliopsida; Arecales; Arecaceae.